Molecule: ribosomal RNA, 1403 nt
Filed under: metagenome
Description: bacterial LSU rRNA
Rfam family: Bacterial large subunit ribosomal RNA
Source: RNAcentral
UCAAGUCGGGGAUGACUUGUGGCUAGGGGUGAAAGACCAAUCAAACUUGGCAAUAGCUGGUUCUCCGCGAAAGCUAUUUAGGUAGCGCCUUGCAUGAUUGCCGACGGGGGUAGAGCACUGGAUGGGCUAGGGGGUCCCAAAGACUUACCAAACCUAACCAAACUCCGAAUACCGUCGAGUACAGUGCAGGAGACACACAUCGGGUGCUAAGGUCCGGUGUGAAAAGGGAAAGAGCCCAGACCGCCAGCUAAGGUCCCUAAGUUGUGGCUAAGUGGGAAAGGAAGUGGAAUGGCCAAGACAACCAGGAUGUUGGCUUAGAAGCAGCCAUCAUUUAAAGAAAGCGUAAUAGCUCACUGGUCUAGAUACUAAGCCGUUCUGCGCCGAAGAUGUACCGGGGCUAAAGCCACACACCGAAGCUGCGGAUGUGAACAAUCUUCGGAUUGUUUACGUGGUAGCGGAGCGUUCCGUAAGCCUGCGAAGGUGUACCGUGAGGUAUGCUGGAGGUAUCGGAAGUGCGAAUGCUGACAUGAGUAGCGAUAAGGAGUGCGAGAAACACUCCCGCCGAAAGUCCAAGGGUUCCUGCGCAAGGUUAAUCCGCGCAGGGUUAGUCGGCCCCUAAGGCGAGGGCGAAAGCCGUAGUCGAUGGGAAUCAGGUUAAUAUUCCUGAACCUGCUGGAAGUGACGGAUGCCGUGUGUUGUUCGAGCUUAACGGAUUGCUCGAGCUUCGAAGGCGUUCCAGGAAAUAACUCCAGCGUAUAGACCGUACCCCAAACCGACACAGGUGGACUGGUAGAGUAUACCAAGGCGUUUGAGAGAACGAUGUUGAAGGAACUCGGCAAAUUACACGCGUAACUUCGGGAUAAGCGUGACCCUUAAGUGGGCAACCAUUUAAGGGUGGCACAGAAGAGGGGGUAGCGACUGUUUACUAAAAACACAGGGCUCUGCGAAGUCGCAAGACGACGUAUAGGGUCUGACGCCUGCCCGUUGCCGGAAGGUUAAGGAGAGGGGUGCAAGCUCUGAACCGAAGCCCCGGUAAACGGCGGCCGUAACAAUAACGGUCCUAAGGUAGCGAAAUUCCUUGUCGGGUAAGUUCCGACCUGCACGAAUGGCGUAACGACUUCCCCGCUGUCUCCAACAUCGACUCAGCGAAAUUGAAUUCCCCGUGAAGAUGCGGGGUACCCGCGGUUAGACGGAAAGACCCCUGCACCUUUACUAUAGCUUUGCAGUGGUAUUAGGGAAGGAAUGUGUAGGAUAGGUGGGAGCCUAUGAAGCGACGUCGCUAGGUGUCGUGGAGGCAACCUUGAAAUACCACCCUUUUGUUCUCUGAUAUCUAACCGUGGCCCGUGAAACCGGGUCCGGGACCCUGCAUGGUGGGUAGUUUGACUGGGGCGGUCGCCUCCCAA